AACGGACGCUGGCGGCAUGCCUAACACAUGCAAGUCGAACGAGACCUUCGGGUCUAGUGGCGCACGGGUGCGUAACGCGUGGGAAUCUGCCCUUGGGUUCGGAAUAACAGUUGGAAACGACUGCUAAUACCGGAUGAUGACGUAAGUCCAAAGAUUUAUCGCCCAAGGAUGAGCCCGCGUAGGAUUAGCUAGUUGGUGAGGUAAAGGCUCACCAAGGCGACGAUCCUUAGCUGGUCUGAGAGGAUGAUCAGCCACACUGGGACUGAGACACGGCCCAGACUCCUACGGGAGGCAGCAGUGGGGAAUAUUGGACAAUGGGCGAAAGCCUGAUCCAGCAAUGCCGCGUGAGUGAUGAAGGCCUUAGGGUUGUAAAGCUCUUUUACCCGGGAUGAUAAUGACAGUACCGGGAGAAUAAGCUCCGGCUAACUCCGUG
This 433-nucleotide ribosomal RNA is filed under the name uncultured bacterium. Its description in RNAcentral is "partial 16S ribosomal RNA". It matches the Rfam family "Bacterial small subunit ribosomal RNA", at positions 29 to 507 of the family's 1533-position model. The record is from RNAcentral.